RNAcentral lists this long non-coding RNA (4798 nucleotides) under Marmota monax (woodchuck). Lineage: Eukaryota; Metazoa; Chordata; Mammalia; Rodentia; Sciuridae. The record is from RNAcentral.
GCCCGCGCAGGGUCCGACCCAGCCGAGGGCUCCUGAGCCCUGGGCGCCGGAGCCAGGAGCUGCGCGCGCUGCCACCUCCCGCGACGUGUCGUUACUGGGCCCGGAACAGGGAACCUGCGUGGCCUGUGCAAACCCUGCCCCUUUAAAAGUGAAACCUACUCCCUGGCCUGGCGCCGGGUCGCGAUCCGACCCCAUUGCUUUACUGAGUGGCUUGCGUGAGUUUCUGGCUCCCACCUGUCUGCGCAGGUAAGCCCCAUAAAUCUUAAUUCGCUCCUCAUGUGACCCUCAUUCUACAGGAACGUGCUGGGCCCUGGCUCUGCGCCAGGCAAGUGGAGGGCCAAACCCCUGAGGGGGUGGCCUCUUAGCAGUUGUAGGGGCUGGUGAGAAAAGCGCAGAGGGCCAAAGAGCUUGGAGAGAAUGAGAAGCAUCAGGGAUCAGAUCACACCACUGUCCUCUGGAAAAAAUGUGAAAGCUGCUCCAGACAUGGGUCUUUGGCAGCAAAGGACAGUGGCCCAGGAGAGAAGGGAAAUCAAGACUGCCUGCCCCUACCCUGCUCAACUAGCAGAGCCCAGAUGGGUGGCAGGUGGAGAGCAAAAGGCCAACCCCCAGGGCCACUCAGGGGAGGGAGGCUCCUGAGGACAGCAGGAGCCGGAAGAAACACCUAGGCUGGGAGAGAAGCCCUUGGGGAGGAGGGAGGGCUGUGGUGCCAGAGGGCACCUGGGGACUCCAGACUCAAGAGUAGGGAGAAGGUCUUGCCUCACAGCAGGGAGAAUCACCCUGGACCACAGAGUUUGUGCCUCCAAAGGAGGCUCAAACACAAGCUGGGAAGGGUCACACAGUUGCAUGUAACUCAGUCCAACCCCAGAAACACACACAGGAUCCAGGAAUCCAGAAAAUAUCCAGUACAUGCUAAGUGCCCCGUAAAGACAAUCAGACGUGGAGAUAAGCAGGAAAUCAACCCAUAUUAGGGGGAGCUCAAGCCAAAUUGACCAGAGUUGACAGGCAGAGGAUAGACCAGGUGAGCACAUCACAUGCAUCCUGAGACUGCUUUCUGUUUGUAAUGCUGCAGGAGAGACUCGAGGGGAUGCAGAGACAGACAAGAGCGUGAAGCUUCAAAGUGAAUUUCCACAAGUGGAAACGAAGUGCCUCUGAUAAAUAAGACAGAUGGGACUGAUGGCAGGCUGUGAAAGCCAGGCUCGCCACACCUGCCUGCGACAGAGCCCGUCCAGUGAGGCAGAAGCAGCUGGGGAGAGCGGGCAUCGCCAGCUGCGGAACUCCCAGCACAGGCAGAACCAGGUCCCCACAGGAGAAGGUAGAGAGGUGGGGAAAGAAGAAAUCCUCUGAAAAAAAUGGCCAGAAUUUCCCCAAAGGUGAUGAUUGAAAAACAAACCGACAACCAAGAAAGGCUGACCAGACCUGAGUGCAGAAGAAGUCAAGUAACAUCAGUAUCAGGAUGCGGAGAACCAGCCCAGCGGAGAGCGCAAAAGCAGCUCUGAGGAGAGGUGCCUUUCGUGCAGACUGGCAAAAGAUGCUCCUGCAAAUAACCCGGGCAAGGAGACGCCUGCAUCUUCAGCACCCAGAAAAGAAACCUGCCAAGCCAGCGUGCCUGGCCAGCAAAGAUGCCUUUUAAAAACAAAGGUGAAGCCAGGACUUUUUCAGACAUCUGAAGCUGAAAGAAUCCAUCCCCAGCAGAUCUGCAGCAAGGAAGGCUAAAGACGUCCUUCAGGAGAAGAAGGUAAUGCCAGAUGGCACCUGAAUCUGCACGACUUGAGGAGGCCUGGAAACAGAGACUACACCAGUCCUGGAGAGCAUGGCCUGAUUGAGUCUCUGUAGAGACAGCUGUUUAACGCAAAAGUAACACGGGCAUUGAGGGGCUUAAGCCACAUGAAAACCUCCAACAUAGACUAAAAGCAGAAAGAGGCUGGGAAGAGAUAGAGAAGAAGUGCCUGUGAGGCUAGGAACACCACGACCCUCGACCACCGCACAUGGGUAUGCUGCAGGAGGCCAGGCGUGGGGGUGCAGGCCUGUGGUCCAGCUGCUCGGCAGGCUGAGGCAGGAGGGUGGGUUAUCCAGGAAUUGAGGCCAGCCACACAGUGAGACCCUAUCUCAAAAACAAAAGCUGUUUUAUACCCUAAAGCAUUAAAAUAACAAAGAAUUUCAGCUAAUGGGGCAAGAAAGGAAACAAAGUAAUUAAAACAUUAAUCCAAAAGAAGGCAGGAAAAGAGGGAGAAAGAACCAAUGAAUAAUCAGGAUAAAAGACAGCAAGGUGAGAAAACUGUUAGGCGCACAUACAUUCAGGGUAAACGUGAAUAGUCUAAACAUUCAAAUUAAAAGGUGGAGGUUGUCAGAUUGGGUACAAAAGCAAGACACAGACAGAUGCUGCCUAGAAAAAACACACUACAAUACAAAAUAGGUAAGAUGAAAGUGGGUGGAAAGAUAUACCAUGUUAACACCAGGCAGAAGAAAUCGAGGGCAGCCAGAGAAGAGAGCAUUUGCAGAGACGGUAGGCAAACACCACAGAAGAGAAACUGGUAGGACUGAGCAGAGUACUGGACAGUACCCUUGCAGUACCUGAUCAGCAGGUGGACAGGAUGGGGACAUAGAAGAAACAAGCAACAGCUGAGCUCCUUGGCCACCACCAUUUUCUGGGCACAGCCUCAGUAUAUUUAAAAUGAUUUGAGUCAUUCCACGCGUGUUCUGUGGCCCCAGUGAAAUUCUGUUAGAAAUCAGCACAGAAGGGCCGGGUGUGGCUCAUGGCAGAGUGCUGGCCCAGCACACCUGAGGCCCCGGUCCCUUGCUGAAAAACCAAAUCAGACCAAAGUGGAAGGAAAGGAUAACAUACCAAAAACUGAGGGCAGUGCUCCAUGUAGUGAGUGGAUGCUCACAGCACUCAGUGUGGAGUGUAAAAAAGACAGGCUCCAAACCAGUGGCUUAGCUCCAUCCCAAGACAAGAGGACCAUGGGAGCAAAUGGCACAGCCACCGAGCAGGAGCCGGGAGCCCAUAAAGUUGUGGUCAAGGUCAACAAAGCAGAGAGCAGAGAAGCUUUGGAGAAAUCAGUGAUAGCAAAACUGACUCUUUGGAAAGAUGAUAAAACUGACAGAUCUCUUACAAUCAAGAGCAGCCAAAGCAGAGAGAAUUUCCAGAGAGGAGCAGGCAAUGACCCUGAUUUGUAAAUGCCAAGGCCAACUGUGCAGAGAACGCCAUGGAAUCAAACCUGGAAUGAAAAGGAACAAGACGGAUUCACACUGGAACCCAAGAGGCAGCAUUCCCAGAGUCUGGACACACAGAGGGUGAUACAGAUGUGCAUACCAUAGCCAACAGCUGUGGCAACUAGAAGAAAUGCCACCCAUCCUGGAAGACAGGAAGACCAGAGCGCACUCAGAAGCUCCAGAGCCGGAACAGCCGCAUAGCUAUUAAAUAUUCUGAACUUUUGCUUGAAGAAAGCAGGAAGCCCAGCCAACUCUACUGAGAGCCCAGCAAACACUCAAGGAGCCAACAGCAGCUCGGCAAAGGAAGAGCAGGGCCACUGCUGGCUCCUGGGCAGCAGUGCAGACGCCAAACCCAAUGACAACAGAAUGACAUCUGUCAUGAACCGGUGCAUGCAAUGUUUUAUUGCAAUUAGUCAAAUGCAACAAUAUGAAAAGGAACACUGCAUGGUGAUGGGGGGGGGGGGCGCGGGUGUCCAGGGCUGUAGCAUUGGCUUAAUUAUGAAAACCCACUAGCACCGCUGGCCACAUCGACGGACAGGAAGGUUGGAACAGGGAUCUCAGUGUUACAGUAAGGAAUAAAAAGACACAACACUUCCUCAACCUGGAAAAAGGUAUCUGCCAGAAAGAAGAUUAAAAAUACAUCCAACAUCACGUGGGAGAGUAAAUAUUGGCCCUUCCCACUGACAUCCGCAACCAUGGUGUCUGUUCCUGGCCAGUGCAGUAAGGGCAAGGGAAAACAUGACCCAUGUGGAGAGGGGCAGGCAAUGACCCUGAUUUGUAAAUGCCAAGGCCAACUGUGCAGAGAACGUCAUGGAAUCUAAAGGAAGCCAAUAGAACUCAUGAGCUCUCGCAAGUCAGGGCGCUAGACCCUCACACGGCACCCCUCAGGGACAGCAGCAAGCGACUCCCAGGCGUAGCUGGGGAGCACGGGAGUCUGCAUGUUCAGUGGAGUGACCCAACCCUUUCACCCGGCAUUCACCACCCAGAAUCUAAGGUGCAGGGCCACACGACGGGCACCCACGUCCAGGGCCACUGCCCAUGUCGUGCCCUAGCCAGAGACAACCCAAGGUGUCAGCAGGAGAAGGCAGACAUGUGGCUCCCACCCACGGCACUCUCGCCGACUGGGGGGUGGGUCUGCGGAACUCAGACCACAGCGAGGACCGUGUGGCUGCAUGGCAGCCAACUCACAGGAGAAGGCUGCUAACUCCUGGGUUCUAAUGCUCCUCCUGCCUCAGCCUCCUGAGGAGUGGGGACCACAGUGGGGCCGCUGCACCCAGACACUAAAGGUGCAUUGAUCUCUGGUGACAGAAAGGGGCCAGAGGUUGUGGAAAUGGGGAGGGGUGAAAGGGUGAGGCAGGAGGAUGGAAUGGCCUAAGACAACUUUGGGGUGAUGGGAAAGUCAUCUGGAUCAAGGCGGGACCCAUGAGGGUGCCUCUGUGCCCCGAGCCAGUGUGCCAAGCAGCCCCCGUCAGAGGCCUAGCGCUUCAGAGCCCUGUCCCAGAGCCCCGUUGUGGCUGAGAGUCUGUGUCCCCCAGCUUCUGUGCCGAGCCCUAGCCCCCGUGGGAUGAGAAGAGGAAGAGACAUGAAG